RNAcentral lists this ribosomal RNA (893 nucleotides) under uncultured bacterium. RNAcentral's name for it is "bacterial SSU rRNA". It matches the Rfam family "Bacterial small subunit ribosomal RNA", at positions 8 to 916 of the family's 1533-position model. The record is from RNAcentral.
AGAGUUUGAUCCUGGCUCAGGACGAACGCUGGCGGCGUGCCUAACACAUGCAAGUCGAGCGGUAAGGCCCUUCGGGGUACACGAGCGGCGAACGGGUGAGUAACACGUGGGCAACCUGCCCUGCACACUGGGAUAAGCCUGGGAAACUAGGUCUAAUACCGGAUACGACUUCGCGAGGCAUCUUGCGAGGUGGAAAGUUCCGGCGGUGCAGGAUGGGCCCGCGGCCUAUCAGCUAGUUGGUGGGGUAACGGCCUACCAAGGCGACGACGGGUAGCCGGCCUGAGAGGGCGACCGGCCACACUGGGACUGAGACACGGCCCAGACUCCUACGGGAGGCAGCAGUGGGGAAUAUUGCUCAAUGGGCGCAAGCCUGAAGCAGCGACGCCGCGUGAGGGAUGACGGCCUUCGGGUUGUAAACCUCUUUCAGCAGGGACGAAGCGAGAGUGACGGUACCUGCAGAAGAAGCACCGGCCAACUACGUGCCAGCAGCCGCGGUAAUACGUAGGGUGCAAGCGUUGUCCGGAAUUAUUGGGCGUAAAGAGCUCGUAGGCGGUCUGUCGCGUCGGCUGUGAAAACUCGGGGCUCAACCCCGAGCCUGCAGCCGAUACGGGCAGACUAGAGUUCGGCAGGGGAGACUGGAAUUCCUGGUGUAGCGGUGAAAUGCGCAGAUAUCAGGAGGAACACCGGUGGCGAAGGCGGGUCUCUGGGCCGAUACUGACGCUGAGGAGCGAAAGCGUGGGGAGCGAACAGGAUUAGAUACCCUGGUAGUCCACGCCGUAAACGUUGGGCGCUAGGUGUGGGGGUCCUUCCACGGCCUCCGUGCCGCAGCUAACGCAUUAAGCGCCCCGCCUGGGGAGUACGGCCGCAAGGCUAAAACUCAAAGGAAUUGACGG